This 561-nucleotide ribosomal RNA is filed under the name uncultured eukaryote. RNAcentral describes it as "bacterial SSU rRNA". It matches the Rfam family "Eukaryotic small subunit ribosomal RNA", at positions 20 to 572 of the family's 1831-position model. The record is from RNAcentral.
GUAGUCAUAUGCUUGUCUCAAAGAUUAAGCCAUGCAUGUCUAAGUAUAAACAAUUUUAUACUGUGAAACUGCGAAUGGCUCAUUAAAUCAGUUAUCGUUUAUUUGAUAGUACCUUACUACUUGGAUAACCGUAGUAAAUCUAGAGCUAAUACAUGCUACCAAACCCGACUUCUCGGAAGGGUUGUAUUUAUUAGAUACAAAACCAAUGCGGGGGAGCGAUCUCCUGGACAAUUGGCGAUUCAUAGUAACUUCGCGAAUCGAAUGGCUUCACGCCGUCGAUGAAUCAUUCAAAUUUCUGCCCUAUCAACUUUCGAUGGUAGGAUAGGGGCCUACCAUGGUUGUCACGGGUAACGGAGAAUUAGGGUUCGAUUCCGGAGAGGGAGCCUGAGAAAUGGCUACCACAUCCAAGGAAGGCAGCAGGCGCGCAAAUUACCCAAUCCCAAUACGGGGAGGUAGUGACAAUAAAUAACAAUGGAGGGCUUUUACAAGUCUUCCAAUUGGAAUGAGUACAACUUAAAUCCCUUAACGAGUAUCAAUUGGAGGGCAAGUCUGGUGCCAGCA